UACGUAGGUGGCAAGCGUUGUCCGGAAUUAUUGGGCGUAAAGCGCGCGCAGGCGGUUUCUUAAGUCUGAUGUGAAAGCCCACGGCUCAACCGUGGAGGGUCAUUGGAAACUGGGAAACUUGAGUGCAGAAGAGAAGAGCGGAAUUCCACGUGUAGCGGUGAAAUGCGUAGAGAUGUGGGGGAACACCAGUGGCGAAGGCGGCUCUUUGGUCUGUAACCGACGCUCAGGCACGAAAGCGUGGGGAUCAAACAGG
Molecule: ribosomal RNA, 253 nt
Filed under: uncultured bacterium
Lineage: Bacteria
Description: partial 16S ribosomal RNA
Rfam family: Bacterial small subunit ribosomal RNA
Source: RNAcentral